CUUGUUAAGGAACGGCCUUCUUUUGGCUUGAAUAAUGCAAUCUGUGAACGCCAACUCACGCUUCUGCGCUGGUACAAUCUUUCCUUAUACAAGAAAUAUGUUCCAUGAGAACUGGCGCCUCAGUUUCACCAACACUUAAGUUUUCGAGAGUGGGGACAGAUGUUUCAAUAACAAAAGAGUGCUUUUGUCCUGCAGCUGGGAUGUUAUUGGUGAAAUUUGAGUACCCGCUUCUUCGAGACUUGGGACAUUUAGAAUGUCGUCGAAAACUCAUCAAGCAAAAACCACUAUCGGCAAUUGAAAAAAAGGUCUUGCUCGAGUAGGAAUUGUAAUUAUAUUGUCUACUGCGAAGCAUAAAGGGGAGAAACGCACUCACUUUAACUUUACUUAACGCUUCUAAAGUUCUACGGCAAAAGAGUAACUUU
Molecule: long non-coding RNA, 422 nt
Organism: Zophobas morio
Lineage: Eukaryota; Metazoa; Arthropoda; Insecta; Coleoptera; Tenebrionidae
Exons: 3
Source: RefSeq, a predicted model, not a curated record